This 465-nucleotide ribosomal RNA is filed under the name Vreelandella stevensii. RNAcentral's name for it is "partial 16S ribosomal RNA". It matches the Rfam family "Bacterial small subunit ribosomal RNA", at positions 338 to 795 of the family's 1533-position model. Lineage: Bacteria; Pseudomonadati; Pseudomonadota; Gammaproteobacteria; Oceanospirillales; Halomonadaceae. The record is from RNAcentral.
CCUACGGGGUGCUGCAGUGGGGAAUAUUGGACAAUGGGCGAAAGCCUGAUCCAGCCAUGCCGCGUGUGUGAAGAAGGCCUUCGGGUUGUAAAGCACUUUCAGUGGGGAAGAAAGCCUUGGGGCUAAUACCCUCGAGGAAGGACAUCACCCACAGAAGAAGCACCGGCUAACUCCGUGCCAGCAGCCGCGGUAAUACGGAGGGUGCGAGCGUUAAUCGGAAUUACUGGGCGUAAAGCGCGCGUAGGCGGUCUGAUAAGCCGGUUGUGAAAGCCCCGGGCUCAACCUGGGAACGGCAUCCGGAACUGUCAGGCUAGAGUGCAGGAGAGGAAGGUAGAAUUCCCGGUGUAGCGGUGAAAUGCGUAGAGAUCGGGAGGAAUACCAGUCGCGAAGGCGGCCUUCUGGACUGACACUGACGCUGAGGUGCGAAAGCGUGGGUAGCAAACAGGAUUAGAUACCCCAGUAGUC